Molecule: ribosomal RNA, 373 nt
Filed under: Picochlorum sp. RCC944
Lineage: Eukaryota; Viridiplantae; Chlorophyta; Trebouxiophyceae
Description: partial Bacterial large subunit ribosomal RNA
Rfam family: Bacterial large subunit ribosomal RNA
Source: RNAcentral
AGAAAUCAAACAGAUCCCCCUAGUAGCGGCGAGCGAACGGGGAAGAGCCUAAACCAAACGUAUUCGUACGUUCGGGGUUGUGGGGCUCUCGUUAUGAGACCUUGUUUCGGUAGUUGAGCAACCUGGAAAGGUUGGGCAUAGAGGGUGAUACCCCCGUAAACGAAACUGAGACAGGCUCUAGAGAUGUCCCCAAGUACCACAGGACACGAGAAAUCCGGUGGGAAUCAGGGUGGACCAUCAUCCAAGGCUAAAUAUCUGCCAGCGACCGAUAGUGAAGAGUACCGUGAGGGAAAGGUGAAAAGUACCCCGUCGAGGGGAGUGAAAGAGUACCUGAAACCGUGUGUCUACAAGCUGUGGGAGGGCUAUUUUAUAU